This is a non-coding RNA of Ixodes scapularis (black-legged tick), 72 nucleotides long. NCBI's taxonomy places the organism in Eukaryota, Metazoa, Arthropoda, Arachnida, Ixodida, Ixodidae. The record is from Rfam.
GCCGGUUAGCUCAGUUGGUAGAGCGCUCCGCUUAAAAUCGAGAGGUCCCUGGUUCGAUACCAGGUCCAGGCA